This 339-nucleotide ribosomal RNA is filed under the name Triticum aestivum (bread wheat). RNAcentral describes it as "partial small subunit ribosomal RNA". The record is from RNAcentral. Lineage: Eukaryota; Viridiplantae; Streptophyta; Magnoliopsida; Poales; Poaceae.
AUGGUGGUCGGUGGGGCGCGGCGUGGGCAGGCAGGAUCUGGCCUGCAGUGGACCGGAUUUGGUCACAUGCAGCGGCGGGCUGCAAUGACCCUUCCUAUGUGGUGGUGCAGGGAGCAGCGCUUCGCAGUCUACCGGUGCUUCUCGGAGGUGGUCUGCUCACUUGGGCGAAAGCCACUGCUCCUGCCGGAGCCGGCGAUGGUGACACCCGCGGGUGCCGCUUACCUCCUUGGAGGCAUUGCUGUCAUGGUGACUUCCCCUUCGAGGUUCCUGGGGAAACCCAUGUUCCUGGUCUGUCCGGAACGGCCGAUGGCGGCGCGUUUCGCGUCGCUUCCUUCCUGA